UUGGAGGGCAAGUCUGGUGCCAGCAGCCGCGGUAAUUCCAGCUCCAAUAGCGUAUAUUAAAGUUGUUGCAGUUAAAAAGCUCGUAGUUGAAUUUCGGGACCAAUUUGUUGGUCGUGCCUCGGUGCGUACUGGUAUUAUUGGUUUCUCCCUUCUGAAGAACCUUGAUGUCAUUAAUUUGGUGUCUUGGGGAAUCAGGACUGUUACUUUGAAAAAAUUAGAGUGUUUAAAGCAGGCAUACGCUUGAAUACAUUAGCAUGGAAUAAUGAAAUAGGACGUUUGAUUCUAUUUUGUUGGUUUCUAGGAUCGACGUAAUGAUUAAUAGGGAUAGUUGGGGGCAUUAGUAUUCAAUUGUCAGAGGUGAAAUUCUUGGAUUUAUUGAAGACUAACUACUGCGAAAGCAUUUGCCAAGGAUGUUUUCAUUAAUCAAGAACGAAAGUUAGGGGAUCGAAGACGAUCAGAUACCGUCGUAGUCUUAACCAUAAACUAUGCUGACUAGGGAUCGGAUGAUGUUAAUUUUUUAAUGACUCAUUCGGCGCCUUACGGGAAAC
Molecule: ribosomal RNA, 548 nt
Filed under: uncultured Glomus
Lineage: Eukaryota; Fungi; Glomeromycota; Glomeromycetes; Glomerales; Glomeraceae
Description: SSU rRNA
Rfam family: Eukaryotic small subunit ribosomal RNA
Source: RNAcentral